Molecule: transfer RNA, 77 nt
Filed under: Rhodanobacteraceae bacterium
Lineage: Bacteria; Pseudomonadati; Pseudomonadota; Gammaproteobacteria; Lysobacterales; Rhodanobacteraceae
Also listed under: 1 other name
Description: tRNA-Ile
Rfam family: tRNA
About the family: Transfer RNA (tRNA) molecules are approximately 80 nucleotides in length. Their secondary structure includes four short double-helical elements and three loops (D, anti-codon, and T loops).
Source: RNAcentral
GGGUCUGUAGCUCAGGUGGUUAGAGCGCACCCCUGAUAAGGGUGAGGCCGAUGGUUCGAGUCCAUCUAGACCCACCA